Molecule: ribosomal RNA, 446 nt
Filed under: uncultured bacterium
Lineage: Bacteria
Description: SSU rRNA
Rfam family: Bacterial small subunit ribosomal RNA
Source: RNAcentral
AGAGCGAACGCUGGCGGCAGGCCUAAUACAUGCAAGUCGAACGGAUCCUUCGGGAUUAGUGGCGGACGGGUGAGUAACACGUGGGAACGUACCCUUUGGUUCGGAACAACUCAGGGAAACUUGAGCUAAUACCGAAUGUGCCCUUCGGGGAAAAGAUUUAUCGCCAUUGGAGCGGCCCGCGUCUGAUUAGCUAGUUGGUAGGGUAAAGGCCUACCAAGGCUACGAUCAGUAGCUGGUCUGAGAGGAUGAUCAGCCACACUGGGACUGAGACACGGCCCAGACUCCUACGGGAGGCAGCAGUAGGGAAUCUUGCGCAAUGGGCGAAAGCCUGACGCAGCCAUGCCGCGUGAAUGAUGAAGGUCUUAGGAUUGUAAAAUUCUUUCAGCGGGACGAUAAUGACGGUACCGCAGAAGAACGCCCCGGCUAACUUCGUGCCAGCACGCCGC